GCACCAGGAGAGAUUUGAACUCACACCUCCCUCCACCCCAAGCACGCACUCUAACCAUCAACCUACAGAGGGAAGCCUGGCAGCUUUGGCUCGAGCAACCCUUUAAUUAAAGUGGAACAGCUUCCACAAGCAAGAGGGUAGCCGCCCCCCUCCACUCCCGGGCAGUAUCCGCAAAAGCAGGGAACACUCACCAGGCCUGCAUUUCCCCCCUGUCCACAUCUCUUCUUAGCACAGGCACAGGGGGGAUUUGCAGCAGGGUCCCCCACGGCACAGAUAAGGACCCUCAGCAUUGCACUAAAAGCUACACAGAAGUCCCGUGCCGCCUCCUCCUGCUCACAUCUGUUUUUGGGGUCUUAGGCAGGUAUAUAGCAAUCUCACACAAAAUGGUUCAUGCACCUAAGUCAGCUUACUCCAGGAGGGAUUCCUGGCUGCAGAUUGCAAGUAGAUCUAGGUCCCAAACUUCCUAAAAGGGUCAGGGCUUAGCACCACCCCUUUUCUCAGCAUCUCCCAGUGGCUAACUUAGGCAGUUUUGUGCCUGUCCUUAUUGUUUUUGUUUAUCCCAUUCUUUGGUACCUGUCUCUGGCCCUUCUUCCAAGACAGAGCCCAAGCACCUAACUGAGGCACUGGGAAUCCCAUUGUUGUUUCAAUAAUUUUCUAGGCAUCUAGAAGCCAUGGCAAUUGUGAGGUUGCUACAUCUAUACCCUUUUGUGGGUCUGGUCCACAAUGCUGAGACAGAGAGGAGCUGAGAAAGGGUGUAUUUGGUCCAUAUUACAGGCAAAGAGCACUUUGAUUGUAAGGGAGCUGAGUACAGGCAUGCCACCAUCCUAUAGCCCUGAGACCAGAGGAGACGGGUUGCUGAGAGUGGGCAUGCUCAGUUCGUACCACAGAGACAUCACUAAGACCCAGAGAGCGGGGUAGCUCAAAAGCGUCUCUCUUUCACCAAGAGACGUUGAUUCAAUAAAAGAUAUUACCUCAUCCACCUGUUAUAUCCUGGGACCAACAUGGCGUCAACCACACUGUGCAAAGAUGCUGAUGCUUCCCAUAGUUCUUGUUGAGAGAUUGCUCCAUGGCCAUGUCAUGCCAUACAGCACUAAAGGGUCUGGCAGUCUGGCAUACUGCACCCUAUCAAGUAGGUCAUUAUAUAUAUCUGGCUUCUCCUUCUCCAGAAGUCUGGCUUCUGCUACAUUUUACAUAGCCCCAUCUAGCAUAAUUCACAUGACCACACAGCAAAUCAAGUGCAAUCCUCUCUUCCAGUGUCUCAGACUACAUGAACUUGUUAUCAUCUCUGUGUGCUGCAGUGUUAUCCCGCAGUAGUUGGGCAACAUCCAUUACCUAGUUUUCCCAGAGCAGAAAUUUAUCUCAGCAGUGUUUCCCUUCGGUAACCUAAGUGUCCAUGCACUGGGGGAGUGAUUGGGUUCUGUUCAUGAAGUCUGCCAGAGCAUUCUGUGCUUCCACACUCUUUUCUCUGUGUGCCUUGCCCACCUCUUCAAAUGCUUCAGUGCAAGGUCAAGGUUUCUCCAAGAUGCGUCUCUUCUCAUUUUCUGGGAGAACGACUGUUCAUGGAACUGCCAAGUGCCACCUAUUUCAAGCAAUUCAUUGCUUCAUUCAUAGGGUUGUGGAUUCUAAUGCCAGGGUUAUGUGCUUUUCCUCUUACAGCAUGGCAGAUGAUGAAGCACCGUAGAUGUUGGCUUCCACAAGGAGGUCUUCAAAUCCACUUUCCUGUAUCACACUGCCAAUGUCACCCAGGAAAUUCACUGUAUGAUGCACGCCUCCCAUCUCAAAGGGGUCACUGUCAAAUUCGGUUUGAUUCCUCCAUUUAAUCAACUGUGCUUUGCAGUAGAUUGCUUCGUCAUGCACGACAUAAGUCCAGUCUUGGCUCAGAGAGUGGAACAUAUCCUGAAAAUAUUUCAUCCUGGUGUACGUUGUAUUAACAUCAGUUGCCGGUGCAGGAAUCAUUGCACAGUAGCCAAUAUUCAUAAAAUAUAAAAUAGCAGACAGAAAAACUCCUCCAUUCAGUCCAUUCUGCAAAUAAUGACAGAUAUGUUGAUGUAUUACAUGGUACAAACAAACUCAUACUGUCGUGCGACUACAGACUUCUGCUUUAACCGAAGACAAACAAGGACAGGAAAAUGCACAAAACAUAUCCCCUGGGGCUAAAUAGUUCCCACACUUUCCAAAACAGGACUAUUUUGAUUACAUAGUUGCAUCGUCAAUUGUAUUUCAAAAAUUUCGGCUGAUUUGGGUGAAAAUUAGACUGUUUCUUCGAGUUAUGGCCCUUUUAGUGAUUUUAUGAUUUUUCCAGAUUGGAUGCCUGCUAACAUUUGAACAUUACAUGAUACAGAAUAACUGCCCCACUUCCUGCAUCUGCAAACACCCUAGUGAUGACCACCAGAUAGGUGCUUAACAUGUGCUUAGCAAUUAAUUUUUUCUAGCUGAUGUGUUACCUUAGACUAAUGGGCAGGGGUUUUUAGAACCUAUCUUCAGUGCCCAGCCAAAAUGGGGGCAGCAGUUGGACACGGUUGGAGCUGGCAUAUCUUUACAGGUUACUAGUAACGCAGUGUAACUCAGAUGCCGAGCUGGGCUUUCUGAGACCCGUCAGCAAGGACAGUGGCAAAAUGUUAGGUAAAUCAUGCCUGAAAGUUCCCCUCGUGCCCUCAGAAAACCCCUUUUUACAGAGUUUUAACUUAAAAAUAAAGUCUGGUUUUGAUGGCAGUCUCCUGGGAGGAGCAGCAAACUGCAGCCUGGGGGACUAUUUAGAGACCUUUUCUCCCAACUGUUCAAGCAGCAUUUCUGUUCACUACCUAUUACAAAAAUCCCUUCAUUUCUCUGUUCCUUGGAUUUCACUUCUUUGGUGCUUAUGAUGCCAUUAUCAUAUAGUGCCUGUCUGUUUCCAGUCAAUUUCACUUGGGCUGGGUUAGUUGAGCCCUCUGCUCAAUGUAGAGAUUCUUACAGGACAGGAGAGCUGUAUAGCAGAUUAGAAAACACCAUACAAACAGAAAUUUCGAAAAACCUAUCAGACUGCCUUUACACAUCAGUCAAAAAGAGGGUAUCACCCCACCAGUCUCCCUUUAUGGACCACCAUCCAAACCCUCCAGUUAGCUCAUAUCUGUUCAAUUCUCAUAAAAUACACCAUCCACCCAUUUUCCUCAAUACUCAGUUAUCCAUUAGUACCAAGCACUUCAGCCCUCCUCAGAGCUUUUGUUUAGAGAAUUGCACCAUAGGCCCCUGAAAGUCUUCCCAUCUGUAUCCAUACUAAUAGUUACCUAAAGCUAGGUGCAUUUAAAGCACCAGCUGCUGUAAUGGAGGGAUCAUAUCUUUAAUAAUCGCUCUGAUUUCAACAGCUAUUUGUACUGUCUGGAUUAGGAAAUUGAAGUAUUGCUGUCCCAUCUCACUGAAUCCAGGCCUCUGAUUGUUGGCUGAAUUUUGAUCUUUGCAGGUUACCGGCUGUGACGGGGUGUGCAUACCCUGCACUAGGCAGGAAAGGGUUAAUCCCCCACUAUAGGCAGAGGAAGCCCCGCCCCUCAGACCGUGCUGGGCAUGCUCCAAAUGCUGUGCUAGUAUAAAAGGAGAGCAGCUCAGCUCACUCUGGUCUGACUGCAAAGGAGGAAGGAUAUCUGGUUGAGGUUAUAGUGUAGCACCUGGAGUGCCUGAGAUCUAGACCAGAGACCUAUUGCUAUUCAAGUUCUAGGGUUGUGCUGAGGAGCCUAGAGACCCCUGUGGACUGCAGCUUCAGGAGCCUGGUUAGAAGAAAUUUGGGGAAGCAGUACCAUGCAGUGUGAAGACACCCAUGGCCCAAGCUGCCCCUAUGAGGAACAUGUAGCCCAGUGCCACUAUUCCUCGGACCUCACACAGCUUGCCUGGAACUGGGUUGACUCCUUUGUCUCCCAGCUUCUGUUGGAGGAGCUCGUGCCGGAUGUGAUCCUGGAGACCUUCACAGAGUUUAUCAAGGAUCAGAGGCAGCAGCCACUGAAGUCCAGCAAUGGGAAAUCAUCACAGGGAGAAAAAUCCCAGCGUCAUUUAAGGGAGUCCUCAUCUGCUCUGAAGCAUCUUCCCAACUCGUUACUGGAUGAGCUCUUUGCAGAAGUUCUCAGAGAUCUGUUGGCUGAGGUCUUCAGAAGUGCCAUGAAGGAUUUUGUUGAUGACUACCUAACCAGGGCUGCCAUUUCUGACAGCAUAGAUGGAAUAGUAACCGAGGUGGUUCAGAUGGUCUUGUCUGCAUUUCUCAGGGAGGCUCUCCAAGAGAUGGAAUAUGAGGCUAUUCUCCAAGAGGUCAUUUCACAUGUCGUCGAGGAGGAUGCUAAAGCCUUGGCUCAAUCAGUCCUCCGUGACUACGAUGCCGAGAUGAUAAAGCUGCAGCAAAGCCAGAUCACAGCAUUUGCUAGCAAACAACUUAUUGACCUCUUUCUUCUGGAGCACUUGAUCGGAAUGACUAGUAUGUAUCCCCCUGGAUUUUGGGGGAAGGAGCACUCCAGUGUGGUUUUACUCAGUUGGAUGUUUGAUAUUCUCAUCAGGCAGUUCUUUAGCAUUCAGGAGCAGCAGCGAACUACCUCUGAAAAUGUUCCACUGGGAGAUUUCCAUCAAAAAGCUUUUACCGAGGUGGCUUUAGAUGUUAUCUUGACAGAACUAAGUAAACUGGCAGAGGAAGACAUGGAAGAUCUGCUGGAAUAUGAAAGAGGCGUUCAGACAGGACUGAAGAGAAUAAACAGGCAGCACUGGAGUUAUGCGGGAUCAUUAACACACUUAGAACCAGAGGAGCAACGUGGGUCUCAAAUGGAGUUGCAAGAGGGGCCGAGAAGGAGUUUGAAGGAGUAUUGUUCCGAGUCACAGAGGGAGACGGCGCAGUGGAGAUGAACCUCGUCGUAAUCCCCGAUGAACUUGAAGACGGUGACGUGGAAGCGACAGCUCCUGCCAUCCUAGGAUCCCAGAGCCUUUCCACCAGUAAUUAAUUACGCCCCGCGACAUUCCGGAAGCGCUGCGGGGUUACCCGACUCGCCCUCGUCAUACAAGGAUUCAGGGGUGGAAGCAGAUGUACAAUGUGUUCUGUUCCCAACCUUGCCACUAUCCUGAUGGCAUAGAAGUGUCCAUUGGCUCUGCAUGCCCAAUCUGCAACACUUGGGGCUCGAUUUUCAGAGGGGUAGAACUCACAGGCUCCCAUAAGUUCAAUAGCAGCUGGGUGAGCUCAAAACUAUCUGAAAAUCAGGCCCUCCUGGAUGUCUUGUGUUGGGCAUCCAAAUUAGUGGACACUCAAACAUUUAAUCCCUUCUCUUUUGUGCACCAAUUUCUGCAUCUGCCAUAUGAGGGUAAUGCCGCCUUGCCAAACACCUAAUCACUCCUGGAUGAAAAGUGCUAUCUAAGUGCAAAGCUUUAGUUAUCAACUCCAAAUGCGGGUGGUAACAUAUUAAAACUGUUAGAAUUUCUCCCAAUAAUAAUCCACAAAUGGGCCAACAUUUAACCGGGUAUACUGAUGUCUGCAAACAUCUGCCUGCCUAGGGGAUAGCAUGGAGCCCAAGUUCUCCAUCACUAGUGCUAGACGUCCAACUGAAGCCUUCUUCUAGGUUCUUAAACUGUGCUCUUCAGCAUGACACUUGAGCACCUCUGGCCUUUCCCUUAGGAUGCUAGGAAUAGCCACAGAGGUACAAAUCAAUGGCCUUUCUCUUUUGGUAUUGAACAGCAGACUUUAGUGUAUGCAUCAGAGGAAGAAAAAACCCUCCUGUAAUGUUCAUAGGUUCAGAUCAUCUGGUGCUUUACACCAACCAAUGAUUUUUAGAUCCCCAAAGAAAAGCAAAACAGAGAGAAAAAUCUUGCCAGAUGUCACUGACCCUCCUUCAAUGAUGAAGUAUCUGAGUUUGUCAUUGCUGUCCCGAGAAGGGGUUGCAUAACAUUUGUUUAGCGUUAGAAUCAGGUGGGUGGAAUCUGCCCCGACAACGAAGACCCCGACAUAAAGCACGUCCCGGGUGGUUAGAACCACUUCACCCUGCCGGUAGGGGUGCUUGUAGGAGGAGUUUUUGUACAAUGCCAUCUUGGUUGUGAAACUGCCUUCUUGUGUUGGGACUGUCAGGUUAAUCACACUAAAGGAGAGAAAUAAAGCUCAUGAGAAAGCAACAGAAAGCUCGUCCUGUACAAUGGGGGAGGGGAAUGGAUAGGGUCUGAGGGACAGGGACCAGGAGAUGGAGCUUUUCAUAUCUAGGUUGAUAGUUUGAAUACUGCAAAACUGAAAGUUACCAUCCAAUGAACGUUUGGUGGCUGAUGUGACCCCAGUUUGAUUUUUCUCAAUCCCACAACUGCCACCAUAAUUAUCAUCGACUGGCAGCUUAUAACAGAGGCCAAAGGCUGAAUGGGCCAUGCAAAUUCCCUGAAAGUGUCCCCUACAGAUCAAGGCUGAGACACGUUGGUGGGGCAGCAUGAGCGAAGCUAGCCCUCCACGGCCCAUACUGUCCUUGUACGGUGGAUUCAUAAUUUAAAGACCAUUAUGAUCAUCUAGUUUGACCUCCUUCAUAACAGAAGCAAAGGAAUUUCACCCAGUAAUUCCUGAAUCAUGCCCAUAUCUUAUGGUUGAGCUAGAGUACAUUUUUUACAAAAAAACCCCACAAAAAUCCUUCCAUUCUUGAUUUAAAGACAUUAAGUGAUGAAGAAUCCACCACAUCCCUUGUGGGGUGUUGGAGUUAGUUACCCUCACUGUUAAAAUUUCUAGUCUGAAUUAAGCUAGCUUCGUUUCCAGGUUAAAUAGAGGAGACUUUAGCCUCCAGGCUCUCAGACCAGCAUUAAAUUCGCACACACAGGCCGGCCUUACCUUAGCAUUGGCCUCACUACCGAAUCCAGAGAAAUUUUGAUAUCAAGCUCAUACGCGCAUGAGAAUUCCACAUUGAUGGUUCGGUCCCGGGUGAUUAUGUUUCCAGUGUUGUUUGCACUUUCAAUCCACACAGUGUUUUUGUACAUGAUAUGAGUGCCGUUGGACUGUGCAGGAGAAAAAGAAACAAAUAUUAUUCUUUUUAGGGGUUAACACAGCCAUCACGAUUUCAGUUCACAGCUCUGAAAGCAGCACAUUAAAGUCAUUACGUAAACAAUAAUUUCCAAACAGAUUGUGAACUGUUUGGGGGCAAGGAUGGCUUUUUGUUUUAUAUUUGUGCAGCACCUGGCACAGUGGGGCCUUGAUCCCUGACUGGAGCUUUUGGACAUUGCAGUAAUAGAUUAUAAAUAACAAUAAUAAAUUAGCUUGCAUCUAUCUGCUAGACUAAAAAAAGACUCUAAAUGUGUACAGAGGUACAUAUGUUACAUUUAUAACAGCAUCAUUCAGCAUAAAAGAUCCCAAUGCAACAUAUACACACUACACGCACCAUUGAAAUGCAACCACCUCUGGGGCAGAACACGUCAUCUAUUUAACAGCCCUCACGAAUACCACGUCCCGGUGAAAUAUCCAGGGAAAUUUUAAGUAGGCAAAAUUUAAGCACCCAGUCUGGAAUUUGGACAGUACACAAGCGCUAACACCUUAUACCUUCUGCCAUGCACACAAAUGUGUUUGGAGCUGCCUAUUAGAACACAAAGACAGAAAGAAAGAACCCCCACUGUGAAGAGUGUGUAUGUGAUCAUCCCCUAAUGUAAUUUAACGAAGCACUGAAGCAUUCAGCCAUCGUGACAUUUGAGCUCAAAUAAUAAACUUGACACCAAAAUGAA
Molecule: non-coding RNA, 7671 nt
Organism: Chrysemys picta bellii (western painted turtle)
Lineage: Eukaryota; Metazoa; Chordata; Testudines; Emydidae
Source: RefSeq, a predicted model, not a curated record